UCUUGAACCCUGAGAAUUGUCAUUGACUGGGUCCUGCACAUUUCUGCAACUAAAACCUAUAUCGAUUUGAGGGUCAUUUGAGGGUCACUUUGAGGAGGCGAGAGUCUUUGUGGAGGAAGCGGGUCAUUUUAGAGGCGAGUCGCUUUGAGGAGGAGGGUCACAAACCACGUGGAACAUGUUUACGUGGCCUGCAUAGUGGGGAGCUCCUCCAUCCCUCUCCAGGUACUGUCUGCAGCUCUCUGGGGGCUGGGCUCUCCCCAGUCUGACUUUG
Long non-coding RNA from Brienomyrus brachyistius, 271 nucleotides. RefSeq lists it as uncharacterized. The transcript has 3 exons. Lineage: Eukaryota; Metazoa; Chordata; Actinopteri; Osteoglossiformes; Mormyridae. The record is from RefSeq and is a predicted model, not a curated record.